RNAcentral lists this long non-coding RNA (1467 nucleotides) under Nicotiana tabacum (common tobacco). RNAcentral's name for it is "long non-coding RNA (NTAB_LNC007938)". Lineage: Eukaryota; Viridiplantae; Streptophyta; Magnoliopsida; Solanales; Solanaceae. The record is from RNAcentral.
AAAUUCAUCAAAAUAUAGUAUUGAAUUUGAGAAGCAAGCAAGUGCAAAUAAGAUGAUAUAAAUAGACAUGAAAUGUGCUGGUGAGGACUAUAGAUGCUCAACUUAUUGAGGUUUACAGACAAAGAAGAAAUCAAUAGAGGUUUUCACCUCUAACCACUUUCUUAGAAAGUUUCUCAACCAAAUCAUAGUGCCAGUAUCACCAUAGUAUAUAUGGCAUAUAUAUACUGCUACUGGAAUUUCUUCAUGUAGUUACAGCUUCAUAACAUUUUCUUGUGCUUUUUUUCUUCUCUUUGGUUUGUUAUUAUAUCUCUUUUAAUGCUUCAAGCCAUAUGUACUGCAGUUUCAUUGCUUGCAACUGAGCCUUUAAGUUAAUUGUUCUUCUUCUCAUUUGUAAGGUAUGUCUGUUCAUACCAUCCUUCGUUCCUGGCUUUCACGCUUCAUUUGAAUUUACUUAUUUUUUUCGAUCAUAUAAAUUGAGUACUCCAUUGUUAACCUUCUUAAUUUUUUAAUCUUUUAGCAGUUUAAUGUUGUUUAUAAUUUUUGUGCACAAAAGCAUAGUACUUAGGUAAUGUACAACUAUGGCAGACGAACCAAAAAUUCAAGAGUUUUUCCUGCUCUCUUACGAGAUUGAACACACAUUGACAUUCGGCAAUGUCAAUAGCUUAACAUUUUUGGAGUAUUUAGUGAAUAUUAUAUAAUGUUUGCAUUUUGAAUGAGUUUUGGCAUAAAGCAGGAGAAAUCUUGAUCCUUUGAUUUUCUUUUAAGCUUUUCUUUCAUUUUUUUUGGCCCUUCUGCUUUAAUUGCUUCUCGCGUAUGGUAUGAAUCAUGACUAGAAAAAAGGAUGCGACAGCUUUGCUCUGGGAAAAGGCUGCAGGAGUUUUGCUUCAACAAGUCCACGAGAGAUUUCUGGACAAGGCUUGGAGUACUGCUCCAACUUAAAUAAGGUAGGUGCCGUUCUAACACUCCAAAAUUUAUUAUUUGGCUAUAUUAUUUACCUGAAUAAUAUUUCUUUGUCUGAUUGUAUUGGGUGUGAGAAGUUUUGAGGUUAUCAAAAUUAGGAGCUAAGGUAUGUGUUAUGUUGAUAAGAAUACCAUAUCUUUCCUUCAAUCAUGAUUACAUAACUUAACAAAGAGAGAAGCUAAUGGCCUCCAGGUGUAUUCAGUAAUAAUGAUAACCUCAAAAAAUUUCCUUAUGUAAUUGUAAUGUGCAUUAAUUUUCAAUUCAUACAUUUGUGUAUAAGUUGAUUGAUAGAUGGAGAGACAUCAAUGGCUUCUUUUUCUGGUACAUGUCUAAAGCCUACGCUUAUGGUGAUUGCCGGAAUAUAUGAUAUAGUUGAGGCGGGGACGAAAGGCAAUGGAAGUUUUGCAUCUGAACAUAGUCAUUGUCACAAAGUACGGAAAGGAGAAUCAUUGGACUCUCAAUCAUGUUCUAUAUCCAUGCCUAAUAGGACAACUUUAUGAAGGUAAA